Molecule: ribosomal RNA, 422 nt
Filed under: uncultured bacterium
Lineage: Bacteria
Description: partial 16S ribosomal RNA
Rfam family: Bacterial small subunit ribosomal RNA
Source: RNAcentral
AAUUUUGGACAAUGGGGGCAACCCUGAUCCAGCCAUCCCGCGUGUGCGAUGAAGGCCUNCGGGUUNUNAAGCACUUUUUGCAGGGNCGAAAAGGCGCGGGCUAAUAACCGGCGCCGCUGACGGUACCUGCAGAAUAAGCACCCGCUCACUACGUGCCAGCAGCCGCGGUAAUACGUAGGGUGCAAGCGUUAAGCGGAAUGACUGGGCGUAAAGCGUGCGCAGGCGGUUCGGCAAGAAGGAUGUGAAAUCCCGGGGCUUAACCUCGGAACUGCAUUCUUAACUGCCGGGCUAGAGUAUGUCAGAGGGGGGUAGAAUUCCACGUGUAGCAGUGAAAUGCGUAGAGAUGUGGAGGAAUACCGAUGGCGAAGGCAGCCCCCUGGGAUGAUACUGACGCUCAUGCACGAAAGCGUGGGGAGCAAACA